UUAAUAUAUUAAAAUAUUUUUUAUUAAUAAUUAUUUUUUUGGUAUUUUCUUUUUUUAAGUAUUUUAAAGAAAAAAUUUUGUUUUCAUUUCUGUUAAGGUUUUUAUUUAUAUAAGUAAUUUUUUAUAUUAUUACCUUUUGUAUCAGGGUGUUUUAAUUAUUUUAAUUAUUUUUAUUUCCCGAACUAAAAAGGUCAAUGUUAUUAAUUUAUAUUUUGUAUUAAAAAAAUUAAAAAUAUUAAUAUAGUAAUUAUAUGUUAAUCGUUUUUUAUUUAUCUGGUUACUAAGGAUUUAAUAAAAUUAUUCAUUUCUUUAUUUAAAAAUUAUUAAAAUUUUUGAUAUGAUAUUUUAUUAGGGAUAAUCUUAAUAAUUAAAUAAUAUAAUUUAUUUUUGUUUGAAUUUUUUAUCUUUAAAAUUUUGUAUUAAGUUUUUAAUAAAUUAGUUUAUCCAAUUAUUAUUUUUUUAAAUUUAUUUUUGUACUUAGUUAAUUUAUUUAAUUAUUAAUUAAUUUUAAUAAUGAUUCAAUAAGUAUAGUAAUUUAAUUUAUUUUAAAAUGAAUUCAACAAUUCUUAUAUUCAAUUGUUUAACAAAAACAUUUCCUUUUGAUUAUUUAUAUAAAAGGUAUAUUCUGCCCUAUGAUUUUUAAAUGGCUGCAGUAUAUUGACUGUGCAAAGGUAGCAUAAUAAUUAGUUUUUUAAUUGAAGGCUGGUAUGAACGAGUGAAUGUAAUAUAUAUUUUAUUUAUUUUAAUACUAAAAUUUAAAUUUUAAGUUAAAAUGCUUAAUUAAAUUCUAGGGACGAUAAGACCCUAUAGAACUUUAUAUAUAUAAUGAUUAAUGAUUUAUUUUGUGAAUCUUUUAAUUUUUGUAUAUAAUUUGCUGGGGUGGUAUUUAAAUUUAAACUUUAAAAUUUUUAUUCAUUUAUAAAUGUUUUUUAGAUCCUAAUUUUGGGUUAUUAGAUAAAGUUACCUUAGGGAUAACAGCGUAAUAAUAAUGGGGAGUUCAUAUCUAUAUUAAUUUUUGCGACCUCGAUGUUGAAUUAAGAAUAUUAUAAGAAGUAGCCCUCUUAAUAAUAAGUCUGUUCGACUUUUAAAUUCUUACAUGAUUUGAGUUCAAACCGGCGUGAGCCAGGUUGGUUUCUAUCUUAGAAAAUUUAUAUUUGUUUAGUACGAAAGGACCAACAAUUAAUACUAAUUGUAUUAAAUUCUUA
This 1205-nucleotide ribosomal RNA is filed under the name Mukaria splendida. Its description in RNAcentral is "16S ribosomal RNA". Lineage: Eukaryota; Metazoa; Arthropoda; Insecta; Hemiptera; Cicadellidae. The record is from RNAcentral.